GUGGGGAAUUUUGGACAAUGGGCGCAAGCCUGAUCCAGCAAUGUCGCGUGUGUGAAGAAGGCCUUCGGGUUGUAAAGCACUUUUGGCAGGAAAGAAAUAGUGCGUGCUAAUACCAUGCGCGAAUGACGGUACCUGCAGAAUAAGCACCGGCUAACUACGUGCCAGCAGCCGCGGUAAGACGUAGGGUGCAAGCGUUAAUCGGAAUUACUGGGCGUAAAGCGUGCGCAGGCGGUUUUGUAAGACAGGUGUGAAAUCCCCGGGCUCAACCUGGGAACUGCACUUGUGACUGCAAGGCUAGAGUGUGUCAGAGGGAGGUGGAAUUCCGCGUGUAGCAGUGAAAUGCGUAGAGAUGCGGAGGAACACCGAUGGCGAAGGCAGCCUCCUGGGAUAACACUGACGCUCAGGCACGAAAGCGUGGGGAGCAAACAGGAUUAGAAACCCUGGUAGUCC
RNAcentral lists this ribosomal RNA (450 nucleotides) under uncultured bacterium. RNAcentral describes it as "partial 16S ribosomal RNA". It matches the Rfam family "Bacterial small subunit ribosomal RNA", at positions 354 to 796 of the family's 1533-position model. The record is from RNAcentral.